GAUGAACGCUGGCGGCGUGCCUAAUACAUGCAAGUCGAGCGAACAGACGAGGAGCUUGCUCCUCUGACGUUAGCGGCGGACGGGUGAGUAACACGUGGAUAACCUACCUAUAAGACUGGGAUAACUUCGGGAAACCGGAGCUAAUACCGGAUAAUAUAUUGAACCGCAUGGUUCAAUAGUGAAAGACGGUUUUGCUGUCACUUAUAGAUGGAUCCGCGCCGCAUUAGCUAGUUGGUAAGGUAACGGCUUACCAAGGCAACGAUGCGUAGCCGACCUGAGAGGGUGAGCGGACACACUGGCGCUGAGAGACGGUCGAGCGUCCUGCGGGAGGCAGCAGUAGGGAAUGUUCCGCAAUGGGCGAAAGUCUGAAGGAGCAACGCCGAGUGAGAGAUGAAGGUCUUCGGAUCGUAAAACUCUGUUAUUAGGGAAGAACAAAUGUGUAAGUAACUAUGCACGUCUUGACGGUACCUAAUCAGAAAGCCACGGCUAACUACGUG
RNAcentral lists this ribosomal RNA (497 nucleotides) under uncultured bacterium. RNAcentral describes it as "partial 16S ribosomal RNA". It matches the Rfam family "Bacterial small subunit ribosomal RNA", at positions 28 to 507 of the family's 1533-position model. The record is from RNAcentral.